GGGGUCGGUUCCGGUCCCGGUGUCGCUGAUCCCGGUUCUGGUCUCAGUUGGCCUUUAUGUUCUACCUGCUGACCUACGUCGGGGCCGUGUUCAAUGGGGUGACGCUGCUCGGAGUGGGUGUGAUCUGCGCCUUCACCUUCCCUGUGCUCUAUCGGCACUACAAGACUCAGAUCGAUCACUACAUGAAUAUGGGGAGGAGCCACCUGAGGCAGCUCCGUGCCAGGUAAGGGGUCUUUAAGCCCCCCCCCCUU
This is a non-coding RNA of Coturnix japonica (Japanese quail), 251 nucleotides long. The record is from RefSeq and is a predicted model, not a curated record. Lineage: Eukaryota; Metazoa; Chordata; Aves; Galliformes; Phasianidae.